GAUGAACGCUGACAGAAUGCUUAACACAUGCAAGUCAACUUGAACUUCGGUUUGGGUGGCGGACGGGUGAGUAACGCGUAAAGAACUUGCCUCACAGAUAGGGACAACAUUUGGAAACGAAUGCUAAUACCUGAUAUUAUGAUUAUAUGGCAUCGUAUAAUUAUGAAAGCUAUAUGCGCUGUGAGAGAGCUUUGCGUCCCAUUAGCUAGUUGGAGAGGUAACGGCUCACCAAGGCGAUGAUGGGUAGCCGGCCUGAGAGGGUGAUCGGCCACAAGGGGACUGAGACACGGCCCUUACUCCUACGUGAGGCAGCAGUGGGGAAUUUUGGACAAUGGACCAAGAGUCUGAUCCAGCAAUUCUGUGUGCACGAUGAAGUUUUUCGGAAUGUAAAGUGCUUUCAGUUGGGAAGAACAAAAUGACGGUACCAACAGAAGAAGUGACGGCUAACUACGUG
This 454-nucleotide ribosomal RNA is filed under the name uncultured bacterium. RNAcentral describes it as "partial 16S ribosomal RNA". It matches the Rfam family "Bacterial small subunit ribosomal RNA", at positions 28 to 507 of the family's 1533-position model. The record is from RNAcentral.